Molecule: ribosomal RNA, 649 nt
Filed under: uncultured bacterium
Lineage: Bacteria
Description: bacterial SSU rRNA
Rfam family: Bacterial small subunit ribosomal RNA
Source: RNAcentral
CAGGCCUAACACAUGCAAGUCGAACGCUAUUUUAUAGAGUGGCGCACGGGUGAGUAACGCGUGGGAAUCUGCCCUUCUGCCUGGGAUAACAGCUGGAAACGGCUGCUAAUACCGGAUACGCCCUUCGGGGGAAAGGUCCGCCGCAGAAGGAGGAGCCCGCGUCUGAUUAGCUUGUUGGUAGGGUAAUGGCCUACCAAGGCGACGAUCAGUAGCUGGUCUGAGAGGAUGAUCAGCCACACUGGGACUGAGACACGGCCCAGACUCCUACGGGAGGCAGCAGUGGGGAAUAUUGGACAAUGGGGGAAACCCUGAUCCAGCAAUGCCGCGUGUGUGAUGAAGGCCUUAGGGUUGUAAAGCACUUUCACUGGUGAAGAUGAUGACGGUAACCAGAGAAGAAGCCCCGGCUAACUUCGUGCCAGCAGCCGCGGUAAUACGAAGGGGGCGAGCGUUGUUCGGAAUUACUGGGCGUAAAGGGAGCGCAGGCGGUUCAUUAAGUUAGGCGUGAAAGCCCCGGGCUCAACCUGGGAACUGCGCUUAAUACUGAUGAACUAGAAAACAGGAGAGGGUAGUGGAAUUUCCAGUGUAGAGGUGAAAUUCGUAGAUAUUGGAAAGAACACCGGUGGCGAAAGCGGCUACCUGGCCUGAUUUU